RNAcentral lists this ribosomal RNA (147 nucleotides) under Drepana falcataria. RNAcentral describes it as "partial large subunit ribosomal RNA". The record is from RNAcentral. Lineage: Eukaryota; Metazoa; Arthropoda; Insecta; Lepidoptera; Drepanidae.
UUUUAUAAUUUUUUUUUAUGAAAUUUAUAUAUAAAUUAAAUAUAGAAAUAAAAUAAAUUAUUUUAUUGGGGUGAUAGAAAAAUAAAAAUAACUUUUUAGUUUUAUUAACAUUAAUAAGUGAAUUAUUGAUCCAUAUUUUAUGAUUAU